This 497-nucleotide ribosomal RNA is filed under the name uncultured bacterium. RNAcentral's name for it is "partial 16S ribosomal RNA". It matches the Rfam family "Bacterial small subunit ribosomal RNA", at positions 28 to 507 of the family's 1533-position model. The record is from RNAcentral.
GAUGAACGCUGGCGGCGUGCCUAAUACAUGCAAGUCGAGCGAACAGACGGGGGGCUUUCCCCUCUGACGUUUGCGGCGGACGGGGGAGUAACACGUGGAUAACCUACCUUUAAGACUGGGAUAAAUUCGGGAAACCGGAGCCAAUACCGGAUAAUAUAUUGAACCGGAUGGUUCAAUAGUGAAAGACGGUUUUGCUGUCACUUAUUGAUGGAUCCGCGCCGCAUUAGCUAGUUGGUAAGGUAACGGCUUACCAAGGCAACGAUGCGUAGCCGACCUGAGAGGGUGAUCGGCCACACUGGAACUGAGACACGGUCCAGACUCCUACGGGAGGCAGCAGUAGGGAAUCUUCCGCAAUGGGCGAAAGCCUGACGGAGCAACGCCGCGUGAGUGAUGAAGGUCUUCGGAUCGUAAAACUCUGUUAUUAGGGAAGAACAAAUGUGUAAGUAACUAUGCACGUCUUGACGGUACCUAAUCAGAAAGCCACGGCUAACUACGUG